Molecule: small RNA, 29 nt
Filed under: Bombyx mori (domestic silkworm)
Lineage: Eukaryota; Metazoa; Arthropoda; Insecta; Lepidoptera; Bombycidae
Description: piRNA piR-bmo-1537638
Source: RNAcentral
UCCCGAGCAAUGGCUUCUUUGGAUCUGGC